Molecule: ribosomal RNA, 544 nt
Filed under: Lymeon sp. BFS-2018
Lineage: Eukaryota; Metazoa; Arthropoda; Insecta; Hymenoptera; Ichneumonidae
Description: partial 16S large subunit ribosomal RNA
Rfam family: Archaeal large subunit ribosomal RNA (bases 409-544)
Source: RNAcentral
UCGCCUGUUUWUCAAAAACAUGUCUUAAAGAAAAUAAUUUUAAGUCUAAUCUGCUCCAUGAUAAUUAAUUAAAUAGCUGCAGAAUUUUAACUGUACAAAGGUAGCAUAAUCAAUAGUUUUUUAAUUGAAAGCUGGAAUGAAUGAUUUGAUAAGGUAAAUUUUGUCUCAAAUUUAUUAAUAAUAAAAAUUUUUUUUUAGUAAAAAAACUAAAUUGAUUUUAAAAGACGAGAAGACCCUAUAGAUUUUUAUAUUUAAAUUUAAAAAAUAUUUAAAUUAUAAAAUAAUAUUUUAAAUAUAAAUAUUAGAUUGGGGAAAUUAUUAAAUUAAUUAAAUUUUAAUAAAAUUUAAACUUAAAUUAAAGAAAAUUUGAUCUUAAAUAUUUAAAUAAAAAGAAUAAAUUACCUUAGGGAUAACAGCGUAAUUUUUUUGGAGAGAUCUUAUUGAUAAAAAAGUUUGCGACCUCGAUGUUGAAUUAAGAAAAAAUAUUAAUGUAGAAGUUAAUAAAUUUUGGUCUGUUCGACCAUUAAAAUCUUACGUGAUCUGA